This 465-nucleotide ribosomal RNA is filed under the name uncultured bacterium. Its description in RNAcentral is "partial 16S ribosomal RNA". It matches the Rfam family "Bacterial small subunit ribosomal RNA", at positions 28 to 507 of the family's 1533-position model. The record is from RNAcentral.
GACGAACGCUGGCGGCGUGCUUAACACAUGCAAGUCGAACGCUGAACCCGCUUCGGUGGGGGAUGAGUGGCGAACGGGUGAGUAACACGUGGGCAACCAGCCCCCGGCUCUGGGAUAACUCCAAGAAAUUGGGGCUAAUACCGGAUGUGACCGCUGGCCGCAUGGUCUGGUGGUGGAAAGGGUUUCCGGCUGGGGAUGGGCCCGCGGCCUAUCAGCUUGUUGGUGGGGUAGUGGCCUACCAAGGCGACGACGGGUAGCCGGCCUGAGAGGGUGACCGGCCACACUGGGACUGAGACACGGCCCAGACUCCUACGGGAGGCAGCAGUGGGGAAUAUUGCGCAAUGGGCGGAAGCCUGACGCAGCGACGCCGCGUGGGGGAUGGCGGCCUUCGGGUUGUAAACCUCUUUCAGCAGGGACGAAGCGCAAGUGACGGUACCUGCAGAAGAAGCACCGGCCAACUACGUG